Molecule: ribosomal RNA, 543 nt
Filed under: Aspergillus spelunceus
Lineage: Eukaryota; Fungi; Ascomycota; Eurotiomycetes; Eurotiales; Aspergillaceae
Description: eukaryotic LSU rRNA
Rfam family: Eukaryotic large subunit ribosomal RNA
Source: RNAcentral
CGGCAAGAGCUCAAAUUUGAAAUCUGGCCCCUCCGGGGUCCGAGUUGUAAUUUGCAGAGGAUGCUUCGGGUACGGCCCCUGUCUAAGUGCCCUGGAACGGGCCGUCAGAGAGGGUGAGAAUCCCGUCUUGGGCAGGGUGCCCGUGCCCAUGUGAAGCUCCUUCGACGAGUCGAGUUGUUUGGGAAUGCAGCUCUAAAUGGGUGGUAAAUUUCAUCUAAAGCUAAAUACCGGCCGGAGACCGAUAGCGCACAAGUAGAGUGAUCGAAAGAUGAAAAGCACUUUGAAAAGAGAGUUAAACAGCACGUGAAAUUGUUGAAAGGGAAGCGCUUGCGACCAGACUCGGCCCCGGGGUUCAGCCAGCACUCGUGCUGGUGUACUUCCCCGGGGGCGGGCCAGCGUCGGUUUGGGCGGCCGGUCAAAGGCCCCAGGAAUGUAUCGCCCUCCGGGGCGUCUUAUAGCCUGGGGUGCAAUGCGGCCAGCCCGGACCGAGGAACGCGCUUCGGCACGGACGCUGGCGUAAUGGUCGCAAACGACCCGUCUUGA